UUACUGAAACUACACACAAAUACGACCCUAAAUUCGACUGUGAACAUAUGCCUGGCAUGGAUGUAUUUGACCUGACAAAUGCUACUUGGGAAGACGCCACUUAAGCAGCAGAAAUACAGUAUAGGAAAUAUUCAUCGAUUUUUCGUACAUAUAAAUAAUAAAACUACACGCGAUUUUACAUAAUAGUGCCAAAUAACUCCAUCUAUUAGAAUAAAAAGGGACCUGAAAGCCAGCUCUAUUGUAAUUGAUAUCAUAAAAUUAUAAUAUAUAAAAAGAUUCAGUGGUGUUUCAACUCUUAAAGUUAUGGACGUAUGAAGUCUGUAAAUCAAACAAAGAAAAAGGGUUUUCUUGAAUAUUUAAAUUAAAAUUAAAAUUGUAUAUGAUUCAAUAGGAAUAAUAGUAGCAAUACAGAUUCGUACUUUGAAAUACAGCAUAGAUGUUUGCUACCCAAUAAAUAUUACCUAAAGUGUUGAUGUCAA
Long non-coding RNA from Contarinia nasturtii (swede midge), 479 nucleotides. RefSeq lists it as uncharacterized. Lineage: Eukaryota; Metazoa; Arthropoda; Insecta; Diptera; Cecidomyiidae. The record is from RefSeq and is a predicted model, not a curated record. The transcript is spliced from 2 exons.